This 517-nucleotide long non-coding RNA is filed under the name Mytilus galloprovincialis (Mediterranean mussel). The record is from RNAcentral. Lineage: Eukaryota; Metazoa; Mollusca; Bivalvia; Mytilida; Mytilidae.
AACGAACUAUGAUAUAACAAUGGCCAUUUUCCUGACUUGGUACAGGACAUUUUUAAAGAAAAAAAAUGGUGGGUUGAACCUGGUUUUGUGGCAUGCCAAACCUUGCACUUUAAUGGCAUUGUUAAAUAUAACAUUAAAAUGACAACAUAAUAAUACAGGACUUCAAUACAAAUAAAUAGGAGAACGUAUUAGGCAAAGAAAAACAUGAAUAAUAGAUAACAAAAGGCAUCAGGUUUAAAAUUCAAUACGUCAAAACCGCGCCUCGUUCACACAAGACUCACCAGUGACGCCCAGAUAUAAAAGUUCGAAAGUCAAAAAAAGGUACAAAGUUGUACAGCUCUGAGGAUCAAAAGUUGAAAAAGGUUGUGCCAAAUACGGCUAGGGUUUUCUGCUUGUGAUAAUAACAUCCUUAUUAUUUAGAACAAUUUAUGCUAUUGCAAACAGUAAAUUUUAUCAAAUGAAUAUAAAAGAUUUACAUGAUAAAACUGACGUCUUAACUAAUUACAGAAAACAAAAC